UACGUAGGGUGCAAGCGUUGUCCGGAAUUAUUGGGCGUAAAGAGCUCGUAGGCGGCCUGGUAGGUCUGCUGUGAAAACUCGAGGCUCAACCUCGAGAUGUCGGCGGAAACCAUCUGGCUAGAGUCCGGAAGAGGAGAGUGGAAUUCCUGGUGUAGCGGUGAAAUGCGCAGAUAUCAGGAAGAACACCCGUGGCGAAGGCGGCUCUCUGGGACGGUACUGACGCUGAGACGCGAAAGCGUGGGGAGCGAACAGG
Molecule: ribosomal RNA, 253 nt
Filed under: uncultured bacterium
Lineage: Bacteria
Description: partial 16S ribosomal RNA
Rfam family: Bacterial small subunit ribosomal RNA
Source: RNAcentral